UACGUAGGUGGCAAGCGUUGUCCGGAUUUACUGGGUGUAAAGGGCGUGCAGCCGGAGAGACAAGUCAGAUGUGAAAUCCACGGGCUCAACCCGUGAACUGCAUUUGAAACUGUUUCCCUUGAGUGUCGGAGAGGUCAUCGGAAUUCCUUGUGUAGCGGUGAAAUGCGUAGAUAUAAGGAAGAACACCAGUGGCGAAGGCGGAUGACUGGACGAUAACUGGCGGUGAGGCGCGAAAGCGUGGGGAGCAAACAGG
Molecule: ribosomal RNA, 253 nt
Filed under: uncultured bacterium
Lineage: Bacteria
Description: partial 16S ribosomal RNA
Rfam family: Bacterial small subunit ribosomal RNA
Source: RNAcentral